This 897-nucleotide ribosomal RNA is filed under the name Actinomycetota bacterium. RNAcentral's name for it is "bacterial SSU rRNA". It matches the Rfam family "Bacterial small subunit ribosomal RNA", at positions 1 to 900 of the family's 1533-position model. The record is from RNAcentral. Lineage: Bacteria; Bacillati; Actinomycetota.
UCUAUGGAGAGUUUGAUCCUGGCUCAGGACGAACGCUGGCGGCGUGCUUAAUACAUGCAAGUCGAGGGACGAAACCAAGAUGGGCAACCAUCGAGGCUGAAACCGGCGAACGGGUGAGUAACACGUGGGUAACGCACCCCAGACACAGGAACAACAACGGGAAACCGUUGCUAAUGCCUGAUAAACCCUGCGUACCGCAUGGCGGGCAGGGCAAAGCUCCGGCGGUCUGGGACCGGCCCGCGUCCUAUCAGCUUGUUGGUGGGGUAAUGGCCUACCAAGGCGAUGACGGGUAGCUGGCGUGAGAGCGUGACCAGCCACACUGGGACUGAGACACGGCCCAGACUCCUACGGGAGGCAGCAGUAGGGAAUCUUGCACAAUGGGCGCAAGCCUGAUGCAGCGACGCCGCGUGAGGGAUGACGGCCUUCGGGUUGUAAACCUCUUUCAGCGGGGACGAAGCGAAAGUGACGGUACCCGCAGAAGAAGGUCCGGCCAACUACGUGCCAGCAGCCGCGGUAACACGUAGGGACCGAGCGUUGUCCGGAUUUAUUGGGCGUAAAGCGCGCGUAGGCGGCUGUCCACGUCGGAUGUGAAAGCUCGGAGCUCAACUCUGAGAGGCCAUUCGAUACGGGACAGCUAGAGGCAGCUAGGGGAGAGUGGAAUUCCUGGUGUAGCGGUGAAAUGCGCAGAUAUCAGGAGGAACACCGGUGGCGAAGGCGGCUCUCUGGGGCUGUUCUGACGCUGAGGCGCGAAAGCUGGGGGAGCGAACAGGAUUAGAUACCCUGGUAGUCCCAGCCGUAAACGUUGGGUGCUAGGUGUGGGGAGGCCUUCAACCCUUUCCGUGCCGAAGCUAACGCAUUAAGCACCCCGCCUGGGGAGUACGGCCGCAAGGCUAAAAC